RNAcentral lists this ribosomal RNA (104 nucleotides) under uncultured bacterium. RNAcentral describes it as "partial 16S ribosomal RNA". It matches the Rfam family "Bacterial small subunit ribosomal RNA", at positions 255 to 353 of the family's 1533-position model. The record is from RNAcentral.
GGGUAGGUAGGCCCACCAAAACCUUCGAUGGAUAGGGGUUCUGAGAGGAAGGUCCCCCACAUUGGAACUGAGACACGGUCCAAACUCCUACGGGAGGCAGCAUG